CGCCCCUGCACUUACUUGACUGAUGUGCCUUAGCUAUAUUCAUAUCUGUGCUGCCUGCUGAAGUAUAGAUGGUGAUGGGUGAAUCAAUCGCGAGUUCCGUGGUACCAGCCUCCGUAAACCUGUGUAUGUUAGCUUGAUCCGGUAUACAUAGAAAGUGGCAUGUUUUCCACCACAAGCGGGUCACUCUCCCUGCUUCAAGCACUUCCAAUGAUUGCUUACAGUCUCCUAUGAUUUAAGAUGUCUGCCUAUUGAGGUGGAACUUAGUGCUUACAUCCUCGACUAUGCUUCGGCGUCCCCUAGGUUAGAUGUAAUUAGACCAGGUGAGUGUACUUAGGCUAUUGAUCGGUGCCGGUGGAAGUUUUUUCCCAAACACUUUAUUUGGUUCCAUUAACAUGCAUUUUAAUUUGUGCAUCCUCAGCUCUGCUCCAUCUUUCCCUAGGUCAGGUCUCCACAUGUACCGCUUUUUGGCAGGCUAUAAUCUUCGCGUGAAAAAAUUAAGUUAAAUCAGAAUUAGACCAGGUGAUUGUACUUAGGGUUAGCUUCCCAUUUCUUUUUACUCUUUUGACUAAGAAAGAUGUAGCGGUUCCAUUACUUAUAUCAUGUUUAGUAUAUUAAUUUGGACCAGGCCAGCUGAUUGUUAUUAGGGUGAGCUUCCCAUUUCUUUCUCUUCUUUUGACUAAUAAAGGUGUUGCGGUUUCAUUACUUAUAUACUGUUUAUUAGAUUAAUAAUCACGUUGAUUGAUAACACAGUUAUCUUAGCAAGACUUGCGGAUAAAGAUACAAAUACAACUGAAACAAAUAAGAUGGAGCUAAUACAACAGGGGAUCAUGGUUGUUCUUAACUUCUAUUGGCUCUGCUGUGCUGUUGUGUACAGGAAAUGCUCAUUUAUACAUGGUGAGGUGGUCUUAAAGUGCAGAGAGAAGGUUACAAAAGUGAUGCAGGAAAAGGGUUACCAAAUUAAAUAAUUAAGUAAUGCGACUCAAGGCAGAAAAAUUAAGAAGAAUUAAAGCCUAAACAAAUGUUAUUAAGAAGUAUAAAACUAAUAGAAACAAUGCCUGAUAGUAUUCCUGAAAAAUAGAUAAACAGAUAGAAGUUGCCAUCUUUUUUCAAGUAGCUCACCUUAUCAACUGUGAAUUCAAAGUUCAUGAAACUCAUAUAUUUAGGCUUGCUUGCACCUCAUUGAUGGAUUUAGUGUUUGCACAUAUUCUUCAAGGUCCCGUGUUGUUUUAUCUCAAUGGAAAUUUACAAAAUUCAGUAUGACUGAGACUUUUUAAUCAACUGAAAAUACCAUUUUGCUCCUGCUAGCCCGUUCCUGUUGAGAUGAAAAGAGCAGCGGAGUCUAUGAUACAAUGAGCAAAGAAUCAAACCGGAUCAAAAUUCCAAACCCAUUCAGUAGCCUGCCGGAAUCCAUCUAUCACACACUACAUAUUCUACAUAUACACACAAACGCCAUCUUCCUCUGAUCGCCCUGUUUACUAAACGCCUAAUUUAAAAGGCAAGCUUCAUCUUCCUCAUCAUUCUCCUCAGGUCAUGAAAAUGGAGGCCCAUCUAGGAAAAGAGGACGGCCAAGAAUUGGUGUAAUAGACGAGAUUCUAGAGCAGAGGAGAUUGGCCAGACAGCGAACUAGCGCAAGUCGACCAACAAGUAAGAGCAUUAUAUUAGUUUAUUCUGUGUUUUCAUCACACCAAGUUUCCGAAUGGCUUCAACACAUUUAUCUAUGCCAGAUUUGUGCAGGCAACACCAACUGAUAAAUAUGUAAUAUGUGCUUGUAAAAGUAAGUUCGAAAUCUUUAAUAGAAUCCAGGAUGGACUUUACAUUAACAAUGACCAUAUUGCCUAACUUAAAAAUAUUGAUUAGAAAGUUUGCAGUGGCAGUUGUAGAUAUUCACCAGACUAUAUGGAUAUAUAUUGCUAAUGUUGUGUUGGUGUACCAUAGAACUGAAAUGAAUUCCAAAGCUACGAGAACUAAAUUACAGGAUCCGGAAAGAAAUUGCUUACCAUCUGUGCAGCCAGACCAUACAUUAUAUCAUCUAAAUAAUGUGGAGGAAAAAGAACAAGGUUAUUAACCAGGAACACAAACCUGAUCCAGAUACAUAAUUAUUAAAGCUGAAAUAUUAUACUUUUAUUAUGAAACAUUUUUAACUAUUCUUAUUUAAACAUCUAUAUGGCCUACUUAUUUUAAGAGCCUAAUUUAACAGGCCAAAUUAUUGAAAACUUAUUUUAAGGGUCUUAUUAGAAACCUAGCUAUUAUAACCAAAACACUUGUAACUAUUUAAAUUAAAAAACGUCUAUAAGCCUAGGUAAUUUCAAACAGAAAAUCACGCUAUUACAUAUUAAAAUAUUAUCUUUAAAAUAUAUAGAUAAUAAGAUAACAUGAGCUAUAUUAUUAGAGAUGAAACUAUGGUUAAAGUGAAGAUACGAUGAUAGCAUCAAGAAUGAUAUGUUGAGAGCAUGAAGAAAGAGAUGGAAAGUUGAUGCAUCCAAAAUAUCAGGCAAAGAUUGCACAUGAAAAAACAACUGCUUCGGUGAAUUAAAAGGCUCAUUACAGUCUGCUUACAUGUGCGCAACCGGCAGAUCCAGUGUCACAGAGGUUCAGAGUAGGGGUCUCUGUUGAAGACACAACUGGGAAAAAAAGCUUAACACUUUUCAACAAGGAAGCGGAGCAGUUUGUUGGUGUGCCCGUGGCAAAAAUUUUGCAGGAGCUAGGCCAGGUAAUAACAAUUUCAACUCGGGUUUCACAAUACACAUUACAAUAUUACACCAUCAUUGCUUCCCUAUACAUAGGAUGAAGAGACAUGUCCAAGAUUCCUGCAGCGGUGAAUAACAUCAUCGGAAAGGUUUGUGUCUUUCAAAUUAAGGUCACACCAUACAACACGUCACACGGAUGUGAGGAAUACACAGUCACAAGAGUCAUGGAAGAGGUAGCUACAGAGGCUUCAAAAGUAGGCGCACACACAGAUGUGGAGGCUUCAAAAUUAGGCGCACACUGAGAGGCAGAGGCCUUAAAAACAAAUGCACAUAGCCACAUACAACAACUGCAACAGAAGUCCAGGCUGUCGGAAACUUGAACAAGAGGCUGAAAAUUGCUUGACGAUCACAACUCACCGGAUAUUAGAAUUACACGUGCCAUUAGAUAAUAGUAAUAAAUAAUACAUGAAAAAUGUUGAAGACUAAAGGUGAGUUAAAGGAAUCAUAGGAUCCCUCAACCUGAUACAACUUUUGACACAAUUUUUUUAGCUACUUCUUUAGUAAAAUAUUUCUUGCCUCACAACUAACUAGGGAUGAUCCACUGCAAUGAGACAAUUGAUUAUAUA
Molecule: long non-coding RNA, 3313 nt
Organism: Daucus carota subsp. sativus
Lineage: Eukaryota; Viridiplantae; Streptophyta; Magnoliopsida; Apiales; Apiaceae
Exons: 4
Source: RefSeq, a predicted model, not a curated record